This is a long non-coding RNA of Pyrus x bretschneideri (Chinese white pear), 2270 nucleotides long. RefSeq lists it as uncharacterized. The transcript is spliced from 2 exons. Lineage: Eukaryota; Viridiplantae; Streptophyta; Magnoliopsida; Rosales; Rosaceae. The record is from RefSeq and is a predicted model, not a curated record.
AGAUAUUGCUCUUCACUAUGAAAAAAACAGUACAAGUUACACAUGAGUUAAAUCGACAUAACCCAAUCCCAUAUCCCUUGUACACCCACUCACAGAAUUUUCCCAAGAGCCUCACUCUACCCCAAGAAUUCUUUCACAAGAGACCUUUCACUAUAGCUCUCUUGAUUUCUCUCUGCAACUCUCUCUCUCACCAUAAGGCAUAACAAAUGCCUUAAUAUAUAAUGUUCAACAUUUCUCAUGGGAGAGCCGAAUGCUCUCCCCUUGGAUGCUUCUUUAUGCUUUCUCAUCAUGAUGCUUCCUCAUCAUGAUGUUCCUUCAUUAUUUUCUUAUUUCUUGCUUUCGGCUUCUUUAACAAAUGCUGCCAAUUAAAACAAUAGGAAAACCACCCCGUGGCUUUCACAUGGACCAAAUAAUUAUGGCUUUGAAAAAGCCACAAAACAAGGAACAAUAAUUCUCAUCAUGAUGUUCCCUAGCCUAAUUUGGCCACUAUCCAACAAUAUAUUCAACCAUAGUACGGAAUCGCAACUGCUUUAAGAGGGUACUUGCUAUGUAUGGUUGAACCAGUAGAUUCAGUCAUGUCUACGUGCUCUUCUACUAUUGCACCUACAGGAAAUUCCCAGUCGAACUUGGGCACUAAAUUCGCCAAAGCAAUUUCUUUGAUAGCCAAGGCAUACUGAACUCCUGGGUAUCCACGUCUGCCAGCCCCAAAUGGAAUGAAUUGGAACUCAUUUGCUUUAUAAUCUAUGGCUUUAUCCAAGAACCUUUCUGGCUCAUAAUCAUCUGGUUUGUCGUACGAAUUGGGAUCUCUUCCAAUUUUUCAAGCAUUCACCAUAACUUGUGUGUUGGCCUUAAUGUCAUAGCCGUUUACUUUCGCAUCUUUAACAUCCUAGGCAACAGCAGCGGAACCGGAGGGUGUAGGCGAAGAGUCUCCUGGAUCACUGCUUUCAAAUUAUUUUCCUUACCUCGUUCUGCAAUUUUUUCAUGCCAUUGGAUUUCUUACAAGCUCAAACAUCGCCCACUCUAGGACUCUGGAUGUGAUAUCAGUGCCCGCAGCAAACAUGUCCUAUAAGAGUAUAUCAAUAAAAGUAAAUAAUUCCUCUAACAUAGCUAGCUAAUAUGACUAAUUACAUACUACUGCCUGUCAGGAUUUCAUGUGCCUACUCGAAAAAUGAAAAUAUAUGAUCAAAUCCAAUUACGAAUGUUUUUUGUUUGAUAGCACGAAUUAUUUAAUUCCAAUGUGACAUGACCGCAUAAAAAUUAAUUAUACAGCAACAUAAGGAUAAGACUGAGUAAGAGAGAGAAUGUUAAAUAUAAUACCAAGACAGUAGCCUUUAUGGUAACUCGAUCAAUCGAUAGACCUGCAGCCACGUUUUCUUUCUGAACUGAAAGCAAAACGUCCACAAUGUCCUUUUCAUCCUCGCUCUUGAUUUGAACAUCAUCCAUGUGCUCUUGCACAACUGUAUCUAAAAACUUGUCGAACCGUUUAUAGGAAUUCUAGUUCAGCGUCCAAACCAUUGAGACGUGUGAACCAAGCAAGCCAUUGAAUAUAGUCUCCAAUAUUCACACGUCUAAUUAACUCUGUCAGAUCCAUGGAAAUCUCUUUAAACAGCCACCCUGCUUCGUCAUCAUUGUUGUACUUCCUCCCCACAGCCACUCUACAAAUAACAUCUCGAAUAAGCGCCCCAAAUAGUUCAGUUAUGUUGAAGAGGAGGAGGAGGAGCCCUACGACUUAAAUACCACCACACUAUUUCUGGUGUUGCUGAUGUGGGAUCAUAACAUUACAACACCCUUCAGAAGACCCGACACUCACAGCGGCUCUUACUCUUGUGGCUUUCACUUUUAACGGCGGCGCACCCUUGGGUCAUCCGGUUAAGAUAGCAUUUUCCAGGUCGUCCGCUCGUCAGCGUCAGGAACCUAGUUUUGAUACCAAUAUUAGGUACUCAAGCCCAAGGAAGAGCCCAACCCAAAAGUUUCGCUCUUUUCGUAGGGUGAGAGAAUAGGAAACCAAAUCCAUGAUGAACGACAUACUUAAUCAGUGCUCCUCCUCCUCCUGCUCCUCAACAUCAGUCGUGGAUUUAACUGAACUAUUUGGGGCGCUUAUUCGAGAUGUUAUUUGUAGAGUGGCUAUGGGGAGGAAGUACAACGAUGAUGACGAAGCAGGGAGGCUGUUUAAAGAGAUUUCCAUGGAUCUCAGAGUUAAUUGUAUUACUUUUUUCUCCUCUUUUUAUUUAUUAUAUGUGAGAAGACUUCACAAGUGGCUUGUCAAAUAA